UACGUAGGGGCCUAGCGUUGUCCGGAUUUAUUGGGCGUAAAGAGCGCGCAGGCGGCCAAGUCAGUCGAAUGUGAAAGCCCCCGGCUUAACUGGGGAGGGUCAUUCGAUACUGCUCGGCUCGAAGACAGGAGAGGGAAGCGGAAUUCCCGGUGUAGUGGUGAAAUGCGUAGAGAUGCGGAGGAACACCGAUGGCGAAGGCAGCCCCCUGGGCUAGCACUGACGCUCAGGCACGAAAGCGUGGGGAGCAAACAGG
RNAcentral lists this ribosomal RNA (253 nucleotides) under uncultured bacterium. Its description in RNAcentral is "partial 16S ribosomal RNA". It matches the Rfam family "Bacterial small subunit ribosomal RNA", at positions 524 to 776 of the family's 1533-position model. The record is from RNAcentral.